Molecule: ribosomal RNA, 314 nt
Filed under: uncultured bacterium
Lineage: Bacteria
Description: bacterial SSU rRNA
Rfam family: Bacterial small subunit ribosomal RNA
Source: RNAcentral
GGAUUAGAAACCCGGGUAGUCCAUGCCGUAAACGUUGGGCGCUAGGUGUGGGGUCCUAUCCACGGAUUCCGUGCCGCAGCUAACGCAUUAAGCGCCCCGCCUGGGGAGUACGGCCGCAAGGCUAAAACUCAAAGGAAUUGACGGGGGCCCGCACAAGCGGCGGAGCAUGCGGAUUAAUUCGAUGCAACGCGAAGAACCUUACCAAGGCUUGACAUACGCCGGAAACACUCAGAGAUGGGUGCCCCGCAAGGUCGGUGUACAGGUGGUGCAUGGUUGUCGUCAGCUCGUGUCGUAAGAUGUUGGGUUAAGUCCCG